GGUUCCUGUCCAACGUUAAUCGGGGCAGGGUGAGUCGACCCCUAAGGCGAGGCCGAAAGGCGUAGUCGAUGGGAAACAGGUUAAUAUUCCUGUACUUGGUGUUACUGCGAAGGGGGGACGGAGAAGGCUAUGUUGGCCGGGCGACGGUUGUCCCGGUUUAAGCGUGUAGGCUGGUUUUCCAGGCAAAUCCGGAAAAUCAAGGCUGAGGCGUGAUGACGAGGCACUACGGUGCUGAAGCAACAAAUGCCCUGCUUCCAGGAAAAGCCUCUAAGCAUCAGGUAACAUCAAAUCGUACCCCAAACCGACACAGGUGGUCAGGUAGAGAAUACCAAGGCGCUUGAGAGAACUCGGGUGAAGGAACUAGGCAAAAUGGUGCCGUAACUUCGGGAGAAGGCACGCUGAUAUGUAGGUGAAGUCCCUCGCGGAUGGAGCUGAAAUCAGUCGAAGAUACCAGCUGGCUGCAACUGUUUAUUAAAAACACAGCACUGUGCAAACACGAAAGUGGACGUAUACGGUGUGACGCCUGCCCGGUGCCGGAAGGUUAAUUGAUGGGGUUAGCGCAAGCGAAGCUCUUGAUCGAAGCCCCGGUAAACGGCGGCCGUAACUAUAACGGUCCUAAGGUAGCGAAAUUCCUUGUCGGGUAAGUUCCGACCUGCACGAAUGGCGUAAUGAUGGCCAGGCUGUCUCCACCCGAGACUCAGUGAAAUUGAACUCGCUGUGAAGAUGCAGUGUACCCGCGGCAAGACGGAAAGACCCCGUGAACCUUUACUAUAGCUUGACACUGAACAUUGAGCCUUGAUGUGUAGGAUAGGUGGGAGGCUUUGAAGUGUGGACGCCAGUCUGCAUGGAGCCGACCUUGAAAUACCACCCUUUAAUGUUUGAUGUUCUAACGUUGACCCGUAAUCCGGGUUGCGGACAGUGUCUGGUGGGUAGUUUGACUGGGGCGGUCUCCUCCUAAAGAGUAACGGAGGAGCACGAAGGUUGGCUAAUCCUGGUCGGACAUCAGGAGGUUAGUGCAAUGGCAUAAGCCAGCUUGACUGCGAGCGUGACGGCGCGAGCAGGUGCGAAAGCAGGUCAUAGUGAUCCGGUGGUUCUGAAUGGAAGGGCCAUCGCUCAACGGAUAAAAGGUACUCCGGGGAUAACAGGCUGAUACCGCCCAAGAGUUCAUAUCGACGGCGGUGUUUGGCACCUCGAUGUCGGCUCAUCACAUCCUGGGGCUGAAGUAGGUCCCAAGGGUAUGGCUGUUCGCCAUUUAAAGUGGUACGCGAGCUGGGUUUAGAACGUCGUGAGACAGUUCGGUCCCUAUCUGCCGUGGGCGCUGGAGAACUGAGGGGGGCUGCUCCUAGUACGAGAGGACCGGAGUGGACGCAUCACUGGUGUUCGGGUUGUCAUGCCAAUGGCACUGCCCGGUAGCUAAAUGCGGAAGAGAUAAGUGCUGAAAGCAUCUAAGCACGAAACUUGCCCCGAGAUGAGUUCUCCCUGACCCUUUAAGGGUCCUGAAGGAACGUUGAAGACGACGACGUUGAUAGGCCGGGUGUGUAAGCGCAGCGAUGCGUUGAGCUAACCGGUACUAAUGAACCGUGAG
Molecule: ribosomal RNA, 1585 nt
Filed under: Escherichia coli
Lineage: Bacteria; Pseudomonadati; Pseudomonadota; Gammaproteobacteria; Enterobacterales; Enterobacteriaceae
Description: partial 23S ribosomal RNA
Rfam family: Bacterial large subunit ribosomal RNA
Source: RNAcentral